Molecule: long non-coding RNA, 3893 nt
Filed under: Stegodyphus dumicola
Lineage: Eukaryota; Metazoa; Arthropoda; Arachnida; Araneae; Eresidae
Description: uncharacterized LOC118182181
Source: RNAcentral
AGGAGACUUUGUAGUGCUUUUAUCUACUGGACUUUCAUUUUCCAAAGCGUUAUGGAUAAAUUUCCUGAGUGGUUUGACCUGCUUUGUGGGCCUUUAUAUUGGGAUCAUAAUUGGAGACGAUGAAGUUGCAAGGAAAUGGAUAAUGGGAGUUACAGCUGGAAUUUUUCUGUAUGUUGCCCUAGGAGAAAUGCUUCCAGAACUCAGAGAGCAUCAACAUGGGAGUCCUGUAAAGAUGCUUUUAAUAAAAAACUUAGGCAUAUUAGCUGGAAUAACAAUCAUGCUUGUAAUAUCGAUCUAUGAACACGAUAUUGUUUGAUUAUACAAAAGUGAAUACUAGUGCAUAUCAAACUAUGAUGCUUUUACGCAUGUAUAAUUUUGUGCAGAUAAAAGACUGCCAUGCUAAGUCUUCCAGUUCACUGAUGGUGAUAUUAUACGCUGCAGUAAAUAUAUCACAGCAGAAUCUUAAAUUAUCUGGGCAAAAUUAUAUGAUUUGUUUUAAAUAUGAAAUGUGAUAAAUGUAUUAAUUACUGUGACAGUAAAUGUUGUAUAGUUAAGUAAUGCAUAUUUGUUUAUGGUCUGCAAUGAUAUUCAUGUUUUAAAAGCAUGUUUUAUUUUUAUUAAAGAUAUAGAUUUAGCUUUAUUUUACUAAUAUAUGAUAAAAAAUCUUAAAAUCUCCAGAAUGUUAUGACAGAGUUGGUUGACAUUCCAAUGAUCAGAAUCCAUUUCAUUUUUAUCACAACUUAUCAUAUUAUUUUAACUUAUAUGUUGUACACACUUCCAUCUACCAUUUUAUGAUAACGGUCACAGAACUCACAUAUUUGUGUUUGGUAGCUUGUAGAAUGAGAGUUUUAGUCCCAACAUGAACAAAAUUUAGAAUGAACAUUCCUUCCAAAAUAAAGUUUUAGAUGUAAAGGAAGCAUGCCAACUUGAAAUUAGUCAUUAAUGAACCUGAAAAUGCCGUUAAGUUUUCGCAUGUCGUUUGAGAGAAUGUAAGUUUCACGAUGCCUGCCAAAAACAUAGCGGAAGAAAAUGUCUUGGAGAAAACAAAGCAAGGCAAAAAGAUCAUCGUACCAAAAAAAAAAAAAAAAAAAAAAAAAGGAGAAAAUAAUUUUCUCUCAGAAAUGCAAAGAGUAUAGAACAUUGUCGAAAAUAAAGCGGUUCAAAAACAUCGUCGUAGAAAAGACCGGGGUAAAAAAGAAAGCUCCUACAAAUCAUUGCAUGACAAUAAUAUUGCAGACAUAUGUUUUUUAAGCUUUAAAAGUUCUAAAUGUAUAUUCCCAUAAUGAUUUAUGAGAGCAAGAAGGAAUGAGGAACAUUGUUAAUUCUAUAGGUACUUUUCUGUUAUCGUGACUGGAGUCUGAAAUGUAGGUAGGCAUGGAUGUGUGUGUUCAUGUAUGCAUAUAUAAAAGUAUGCAUGUAUGUGUGUGUGUACACAAAAGAGUACCGUUCUAUAUUUCAUAUUUUUUAUAUAAGUAGUAUUUUUUGCUAAAAACGGCAAGAAGGAAACUUAAGCAUUCAAAAAUUGAAAGUGAACUAGUUAUUUAAACAACUUUAAGUAAACUGAACUAAUUAAUUAAACAGUUUUAAUAUAGGUUAUUUCAUGCAGUUACUUGUCUUCCCUUUUCUAAUCUUUUUUAAACUAUAAUUUUCUUGAAAACUACCAGGACACCUUUAUAAAAAGAGGUUAAUUAAAUAAUGAGCUUUAAUAAUUAAAUACAUAAUUUUGAAGUUCUAAUAACUGUUAUGCAUAGCACUGAUGUUAAACUCAUUUUCACUUUUCAAAUUCUUAAGUUUCCUUCUUACUUUUUUAGCAAAAAAAUUAAUUAAUCCCAAAAUACGAAAUAUUGAAGUAAAAGCAUUCUUCAUUCCUUCUUGCACUUACAAACUAUUAUGAGAAUAUAUGUUUACAACUUUUAUUUCCUGAAAAGCACGUGUCUGCUAUAUUAUCAUGAUGUGAUCAUUUCGUAGGUGCUUCAUUUUUUACCACGAUAUUUUCUACGACAAUGUUUUCUGUUUGCUUUCUUUUCUUUCACUAUGUUUUGUACAAUGGUGAUUUUGCCUUGCAUUGUUUUCUCCGCGACGUUUUCGCCUGUAACCGGGUCUCUCUUCUUCAGCCCCUAAUAUUUUGUAAUUAAAGAGCAGCCCCUAAUAUUUUCUUUUUCUGAAAUAUGGAUGAAUUAAUGUUAUGUAGUCUUAUAUUAUUACUUAAGAAACAUUAUACUACCAGAAAGUUUGGAAUUCAUGCAGAACCGCUUUUAAACAUUUUGCUGCCCUGUUCAAUUAAUCUCUGUGGGUUCUAAAUUAUAUUGCCCAGCACCACUCUAAAUUCUAAGCAUUUUGCCAUCUCUAAAUUUUGCUGUUAAAGCCUAAACAUUUUUGCUGCCCAUAAAUUGUGCUGCUAGGUGCAACCACAUGUGUUGUAUAGGCUCUGGUGCCGGCCCUGACUUAAUGUUAAAUUUCGUAGAGACUUUUUGUCUUCCAACAAAAAUGAGCUUAAAUUUUUGCAUUUGUUUAUAAAGAUGUGCCCUGUACUGAAAUUAAAAUAUUAAAUAAAUAACAUUACAUAUAUUUUAUCAACACUCAUGCAUGUUCCAGAAGUUAUUGAAAUAAAUUGCUUCACAAAUGUAACUCAAGAAAUGAUUGCACAGGGCUUUGACCUAACAUCGUACUUACAAUGGAAUGUAUCCAAUUAAAUAAUUAUUACCAAUAAAUAACAAAUACUACUCUUAUUUAGAAUUUCAGUUGUCCUCUUAAAAUUCUUGUCCUUUAUUUUUAAGGUGCAGGCACUUGUUCCUUUGUAAUUUAUUACUUGUACAUCUGUUUAUUUAUUUGUGUAUUGAUAUUUAUUUAUUCAUGGAUAAAAUUUAUAGCAAUUUUUUUAAACUAACAUGCUUAUUUAAAAAGAAACUGGCUUUAGGUAUUGAUAAGCCCUUUUGAAAAUUCUUUAUAGAAUUUUAUUUAAAAAAAAAUCCGAUAUUAAACUUCUUUAAAAUCCUUUAGGAUUAAAGCCUAAUUUUCUAUAAAUUAGAUUAGAAUUCUAUGCAAUUUCAGAUAUAUUUUCUAUAAUCUAUAUAUCUACACACCUAUAGAAUCUGUAUACGUAGAGAUUCUAUAGAUGUGUAGGCAUAUAGUGAUUUGAGCAAAGCUUCUGUAAAAAGACAGUACAGUUUUUAAAGCUUUCACACAUCUUGCAUAAUGUCUAUAGGAUCAACGAAUAUAAUUCUACUGAAAAUAUCAAAUCCAGUAUAUGGAAAAAUGGGCUACAAUCCUAACUAAUUCAAAUAUGUUUGUUUCCAUUAAUUUUCAAUAAAAGAUCCUAUUUGAGUGUUUAAAAACAUUAUAAAAUCAACAAAGUUUUCUUUUGGGAAAAAAAAAGAAUGAAUUACGUUUCCAUUUUUUUACAGAAUUUGUUCACCUUUUACUAAAUUUUGAAAUUAUCUGUGAUAUGGAAAGGCUUUUAGAACAGGUGGAAAUAUGUAAAUAAAAGUAAAUACAUUUUAAAUAAUAAUAAUUCUUAACUAAAAGUAACAAACCAUUUGUCUUAUCAGGAAUACAUAUACAAAAACUAAAAGUAUUAAUUUCAGAAAUUAAAAUUUAUAAUUAACAGCAUAGAUUUAAUCUUUUUAAUUAGUUUUAUGAUUUAAACUGAUUUUAUGCUUUUAUGAGAUUUAACUUUUGUAUUAUGUAAGCAACACAAUAAAAAUCGCAGUACAAAUUGUUACAUAAAUUUAGAAGCUAAAAUCAUUAAGCUAGAGGAGGGAAAAAUGGAAAAUUUGCUCUAAAAAAUGAUUCAGUAUUUAUGAACAAAACAUGUUUAUUUUUCUUCUUUUAUAGCCCGUAUUAUCAGGAAAUAAACAUUUGUUUUGAUUCCAGUUUAAAAAAAAAAAAAAAAA